RNAcentral lists this ribosomal RNA (502 nucleotides) under uncultured bacterium. Its description in RNAcentral is "partial 16S ribosomal RNA". It matches the Rfam family "Bacterial small subunit ribosomal RNA", at positions 30 to 523 of the family's 1533-position model. The record is from RNAcentral.
AUUGAACGCUGGCGGCAGGCUUAACACAUGCAAGUCGAGCGGGGUGAUGGUGCUUGCACUAUCACUUAGCGGCGGACGGGUGAGUAAUGCUUAGGAAUCUGCCUAUUAGUGGGGGACAACAUCUCGAAAGGGAUGCUAAUACCGCAUACGUCCUACGGGAGAAAGCAGGGGAUCACUUGUGACCUUGCGCUAAUAGAUGAGCCUAAGUCGGAUUAGCUAGUUGGUGGGGUAAAGGCCUACCAAGGCGACGAUCUGUAGCGGGUCUGAGAGGAUGAUCCGCCACACUGGGACUGAGACACGGCCCAGACUCCUACGGAGGCAGAAGUGGGGAAUAUUGGACAAUGGGGGGAACCCUGAUCCAGCCAUGCCGCGUGUGUGAAGAAGGCCUUAUGGUUGUAAAGCACUUUAAGCGAGGAGGAGGCUCUUUUGGUUAAUACCCAAGAUGAGUGGACGUUACUCGCAGAAUAAGCACCGGCUAACUCUGUGCCAGCAGCCGCCGUAA